This is a long non-coding RNA of Lactuca sativa (garden lettuce), 1467 nucleotides long. RefSeq lists it as uncharacterized. NCBI's taxonomy places the organism in Eukaryota, Viridiplantae, Streptophyta, Magnoliopsida, Asterales, Asteraceae. The record is from RefSeq and is a predicted model, not a curated record.
UUAAGCUGAUAGUACAAGUAAUCAUCAAUAAAAUAAUAAUAUUUUUUAAGUCGUACAAAACAUAAAGAAUGAAGUACAGUUAACCACUGCAUAUCGGUAAUUAGGAGGUUUGACCAAGUUCUUUAGUCCUCAUGAUAGUCGUGAAGAAACCUAAGAUCUCGGCAAAAAUCUUUCAUUUCAUGGCCCCCUCCCCUAUAUCCGUCAUUCUCCGUCGCAGAAAUCAUCUCGUUUCUUUUUCUACUAAACGAGUUUUCUUCCUCCAGUAAAAGAAACCCUAAGACCACUCAAAUCUUCAACAUAUUGAUGCCGCCUCCCCCACCUUCGUCUUCUCCAUCAAUGUCCUCCAUGUCCCACUCAAGCUUUUGUUUAAUCGUCUCUAUCGGAUUCCUGAAGCCAUCACCUCUUCCAUCGCACCUUACUAUUCUUCACGAUUAUUCUUGGUUUCAGAUCUAACAAUUCCGUUUAAUAGUUAGAGGUAGCUUUCUUUACAAGUUUAUACAACAUUCACUCCGCUUAUCCGACUCUGCCAUGAUCAUUGCAAUUUCGUGAACAAAUGAAAUUAUAAGUGAUGGUGGUGUAAGAUACCAUAACCCCUUAUAAAAUCAUUUCAAGAAGAAGAUGAAGAGAAGAAGACAAAGAGAAGAAGACAACAACAUUGAGCGAUGGUAGUGUAAAAUCUUGAAUCCCCCUUUCAAUCGCUUUCUCUCUCGACUCAUCAAAUCAUCGACGACCUGGUAAGAUAUACUAUAUUGUUUGUCGUUAGUAAUGGCUUGGAUGGAUGUUACGAUGGGAGGUCUUGGGUCUGUAUGAAAUUUUGUUAUAUCUGUGUAUCCAUAAUUUCAUUUGUAAUUUUAUCUCAAAUUUCUUUGUAUUCUGAUUUCUUGGUAUUUUGGUUUUUUUCAUAUAAACGAUUUAGGUCAUUCGGUAGACUUUGGAUCUGGAUGGAGGUUAGGAAGAUAGAUAUAAGCACAUCGAGAAGCACCAACAUGAUCUAGAGGAGAAGUAAUGGACUCGAAAUACGAAAAGAGAAGAGGGGAAGCAGAUCUCUGUUCUUUCUUCUUCUUCUUCUUCUUCUCUGUUUUAUCUUUUUGUUGACAUAAACACAAACACAGAUUUGUAUUGAAAAUCUAAUUACACUUGGUUCACUGUGUUUUUGUUUAUGAUUUUAGUCCUCUCUUACGUAAAUUAGGGCAUUUUUUAAUUGUCAAUACUUAUUUUUCUUGCAUUUCAGGAUUUAAUAAUGAAGCUGAUGGUGAAAAGAACAAAAAUAUAUGUACCAGAUAAUUAGAGUAGGUAAUUUCAUAUCCUGGUAAGAACAUCUUUGAUCAUUGCACACUCUCCAUCAAUUUUUAUUUAUUUUUAUUUAAGUUUAUUUUCCAAAUAUUUGUUGGUACUGAAACAUGUUUUGCAUACGUGUGUAUUGUCACUCAGUUACAAGAUAUGUGAAUGAAAUAUUUUUAGAACUGA